Molecule: long non-coding RNA, 438 nt
Filed under: Anthonomus grandis grandis
Lineage: Eukaryota; Metazoa; Arthropoda; Insecta; Coleoptera; Curculionidae
Description: uncharacterized LOC126735639
Source: RNAcentral
GGCCCACCUGAUCUGAAUGGGGCUCCUUUGUUGGCAGCUAUACGUUUGGGUCAAAAGAGGCAGCAGCAGAUCGAGCAGUUAGGAUGCUUCCAGAAUGUCUAGCAGGUAGUGGAGGGCAAUCGGUAUUAGGUGUAGCCGAUUGGAAGGAAUGCAGGUUCCGGAGGUGAUGAUCCAAGCGACUUGAUGUGGUAACACGUGGAGUAGCAAGUGAGGUGGAAGCAGUAACAAUAAAAAUGCAGCAAAAGCAGAAGCAGAGGAUAAGCAGAAGGUACAGGAAGGCCUAAAAAUGGGGACCACACAUGAGGUUCGACAUGGCUGUCAAUUUUAUGGCAUUUUUGUGUGGAUCGGGUAUGUUAGGAGGGACCAUCUUAACGGUAUCAUAUCUGUGUAGUAUGUAUAUUUAUGUAUGAUUUUUAAAUAAAUUAUUUUAUGAAACUA